Molecule: RNA transcript, 4553 nt
Organism: Strigops habroptila (Kakapo)
Lineage: Eukaryota; Metazoa; Chordata; Aves; Psittaciformes; Psittacidae
Gene name: formin-like protein 5
Exons: 3
Source: RefSeq, a predicted model, not a curated record
ACCGCCCGUAAGAGCCGCGGCCCCACCUCUCGAGCAAGAGGGAAAACACCCGAGGGACGCGACUAAGCACAAGAUGGCGGCGUUGGCUGAUCGCCAAGGCUCAGGCGGGGCUGCUGUGGCCGCCAUUAGGCCCCCUCCCCCUCCCCGCGGGUACAUCCUCAUGUCAGGGUGUAAGAGGCCCGGGCACGGCAGCAGGGGAGCGGCUGGUAAGAUGGCGGCGGUCUCAGCCCCGUAUGCAAAGUACCCGCCGCCCCCUCCCCUCCGCCCUCCCGGUGGCAAAGGUAAAAGGGUCGGGUUCAAGCCGCCGCCUCCGCCCGCUCAGACUCCAUCUUCUCUGUGUCCGUGUCCCGAGCUCGUCACCGCCGCGACCAUCACCCCUGCGACCCCCCGGACAGCAGGCUGCUCUCACCAGGACCGGACCGGCUCCGACCUCAGGCGGCCCGCAUUCCAGCCCGGCGGCUCCGCAACGAGACUCCCGCACCGGAUCGGCCCAGCACCUCACAAUGGUCCUCCCUCUCCCGCCAGGAGCUGCAGGCCAGCGAACGGCACAGCUGGCUCUCGCUUACCAGCGAAAUACCGGAGCCUUCGCAUCCCCCCUCCCCUUAAACCGAGCGCCACCCAUCCGCUUUGCCGCUCGGGGGGGUGCCCCGAGCAAGGAACUGGCGCCAAACGUGCCCUGGCGGUGACCCUGACCUGGGCCCCGGCGGGCCGGUGUUGGGCAGCGGUACCCGGCGGUGGCCCUACCCCCGCAGGGCGGCAGCGGUGGUGAGGGGCUAUCGGGGUGCGGGGGGGCCGGGGCUGUGCUGCGGGGCUGCGCGGGGGGGAUGUUUUGGUUUGUGUGCCGUGCCCUGUGAAAGGUCAGAGUUCGUGACCCCGCCCGCCGCUGCCGCCGCCUGAGAGCGUGUCCCCGCUUCCUCGUCCCCGCGCUAGGCCGGCCGCGGCCCCUUCAUCCCCCUCGCGGGGCGGGGCUGGGGACGGCGGCGGGGAGGGGCUACCUGGGCCGCUCCGAGCCUCGCCGCGAACGCUCCGCCGGGCAGCGGGAGCCUGCUCCGCCGGGCUGGCAGCGGCGCUGGAGUGCGGGGCGGGAGAGGAGUGCUGCGGGCCCCGGACGCCGGUGCUGGGCCGCGGUGGCGCCCUGGCGGAAGAGGAUGCAGGGGGGGCACCUGAGCGUGAACGAUCCAGGUCCGCGCCCCACUAUGGAACGCAGGGGACGGCGCUUCCCUGCUCAGAGCAGCCCUUCGCAGCCCGGCUCGCGGCUGGAGGUGACCGGCGGAGGCGGUGGUUGGGUGCGGGAUGGGUGCUGUGUUUGCUCUCCCGAGAGUUGCUCAGCCGAAGGUGCUCUUGCGGUUGAUGCUAGCACAGAGGCCGGCGCCAGGUUGUCCGGAGGUUUUCUUCCCUUCCGUAAGGUCGGUGUCGUUGAUGGGGGCUCUCGCAGUGGAGGUGGCUUGGGUGGGAAACGUGGUGUGCUUCCGAGUGGGCAACUGUGUAGGCAUGAGUAGAUGCGGCUCAGGACCUUAUCUACGACUUCCUGGUGCUUGUCGUCUCUUCCUGAGGCUGUUGGAUGUUGACCCGUGACCCCAGUUCGCUGUUGUAACUGUGUGUAGCUAUUUCUUAACCUGCACUUACCAGAAUGAUCUUGGUCCUUCUACUGAGUUUCUCUUAAGUCUACUUAUUUUGGCAGAAGCCAACUUAAGGAGUCAUCAGACGAACAAAAACUCGAAGAUCGGAAGUGAUAGUAACUCCUGAAAGGAAAUACGUGCAGGAGAAAGCAGCUGAAUGCAGCAAUCACUGAAACAGGAGCUGCUGUUGUCCAAGUAGUUACACAGUCAGCAGCCUGAUUUGUUUGGCGUUUUUGGUUUUAUUUUUGGUUGGUUGGUAUGUUAGAACUGGCUCUUUGGGGCAAGGAGAUGAGAAAUGAAGAAUCGCGUAUGAAUUGCAGCCUUGCUGUUACAAAACUGGAGUUAACAUUCAAGCACGUGUGUUUGCAAUACAUGAAUAAAGGAAAAGAUAAACAGAAAAUGUCUUGGGUGUUUGUUCACUUCUGUCAUGUUAAAUAUAUGAAGAAUCUUCAAAUUCUUAAAACACAGACAUGCACAUCCCUUCACAAGCAGAUUUUUUUUUUCUUUUUUUCAUAAAACAGUAUUAAAGUGUAAGUAUGUUUCUGUAACACAGAUAAGUUUAGGGAUUUUCAGAAUUCUCAUAACAGCCUUACUGUAGAAGUAGGUUAGAUGUUAGGGUAAGAAUGUGUUUUCGUGUUAUAAAUCAAGGACAAUGACUUGUGGAGUAGUUUGUAUGAGUACGGCAUGUUUUUUAAAUGGAGGAUUUGGAAAAAAGCCCACCUUUUUAAAGUGAAAUAAGGGAAUAAAAUGUUAGUGUGGCUUUAAACUGUGUGAUGUGCAUCUGUUGGAUCAUAGUUGUAAGCAAAUUUAAACUGAAUCUUUAGUUUUGUUCUUUAUUUGCUAUCCUAAAAUGUUUUUAUCAGAAUUUUAAUCUUUUUUUUUUCUUUCUUUCUUUUUUAAUCUUUUAAUUAUUUUUUUCACACCAGUUGUGUGUUCAUGGUUAGGUAGAAAAGUAUUUCAAUCUUGUGGUCAGAGAAUUCUCUAACAAGACAUAGUAUUUCUUCAGUUGUGCACUCUUCAGUGAGUGGUUGUCACUUGCUGAAUAAACCAGAGGAGAGUCCCACUGUGAAUAAAGAUGCUUUUGAUUUUGAGAGUUAUCUUUAUGAGCAGGAAUAUCAGAAUAUAUAGGAUGCAGAGGAAGUGGACUAGGAUGCUUUCAGUUAAAUUUCUGCUUUAUAUAGAGAUCUCAUUUUGAGCUCUUCAGGGAAAUAACGUGUUAUUUUUUCCUUGAUAAUAAAAUAUAUUUAAUUUUGUUCUGCUGGCUAGCAAAUUCUCUUCCCUACACCCCUUAAAAGGGAGGGCCAGCAUUUCUGUAGCUUCUGACUGCUAACCUGUUCGUUUCUACUUUUCUCACCUCUGCAGUGUAGGUUGAAAUUUUGAGCUUUUCAGCUGAUGCAUAGAGAGAGCCAGGACUUUUCAAUGACUUCCUGAGUGUGUUUUGGCAUUCGUUCACUUUUCUGCAGUAGUUGUUCUAUAAUUGCUUACCAGAUAAGUCAUUUUCCCGCAACAGGUCUUCCCAAUCCUUUCCGCUACUCCAUGUCCAGAAGUGUGCAAGAGUAUGCUUGGGGGCGGGGAGGGGGUGUCCUUUUUUUAACUGGCUUGGGCAAAGGUGUGUUAUCUGUCAUGACAGAGCUUUGCCAGUGGUCUUGGUGCAUGAGAGAAUUUACCAAUUGGAUUAGCUCUGAUAAAUUAGAUGAACUCUAUAGCGCAGCUUAUUUAUUGGUUUGCUCACCUUCUGUCUUACAGUCGUGUUGCAACCUCUUUUGACGUAGGUUGUUUUUCUUCUGGCUUUAUGUAUUGAAAACUGAUGUGAUUCUGCACUCGGGCACUGCAGCAAUAGCCUUGUGUACCCUGUGCCCUUCUGCUGUAUGGCAGUCCAUCAGGUAGCCUGGCUGGGAAGGCUGCUUCUCUUGCCUGUGUAACUGCUGCUGUUGUUUCUUAGCCGUUUCCAGUGUUCUGCCUCAGUGUUGUGUUUAAGAACGUACCUCUGACUUGUCACUACUUUUUGUUUUUUCUCUCCCCCCCCCCUUUUUUUUUUCCGAAGUACGAGCAUGCACAUCUGGAGGCCCUACAAGUGCUAUCAAGGAUUCUUACAUAAACCUGCACAAUUAAAGAUCUGCAUAUAUAUUGGCAACCAAAUGUAUGUGUACUUGUGAAAGGAUUGCUGUGGCAUAAUGAAGUAGGAGAACAGAAAAGACCAUCAAUCACUGGGAUGCUAAGCCUAUAAAGCAGGUGUGUGCUGAUGAUAAUUUCCGAGUAUGUUAUAUCAUCACCCUGCUGGAUGUGUACCUGAGUGUACAGCCUAUUUCAGCAGGGCUUCCUCUUCUAGAGGCUUGUGCAUUGUGAGAAUUUCGCUAUGGGAGGACAUUACACUGAAGAUUGCUCACUUUAGAGCCUAACAGAUCUAGCAGUCUAGAGAAGAGGUGGGUUUAUCUGUUUACGUCACCAUGCUUUUGAGCGUACAUGUUUUAUUUCUUUGUUAAAGCCCAAGGUCUGAGGUACUUUGAGAAGUAGGGUAUUGUGCUUAGACCAGUGGUCUAGUCUGUUAAAGUAAAAUUCUGUAGCUUGAAUGUUGCAGUAAUUCUGUUUUGUUUUGAAUAUUGCAGAUGAAUGAAUUGGCUACUGACAUUGCUGGAAGACAAACGGAAAUGCUUUAAAGGUGUAUUUUUCCUCUCAGUGGUACUGGAAAUGAAAAUACAGUGAUGAGAAUUGCAUAUCGUAUUAGGCAAAGUCUGCAGAUACCCUACUGAAUGUUUUGCACAUUUGUGUUUGAAAAACCGAGUAAGAUUGCUUAGUGUUACCUUGCAAAAAUAUUCCAAGGUAUAUUACAUGGAUAGUUGUGAGGAUUGGGGGAGGUGAUCAUAAGUUAAAAUGACAAACUUUCAUAGUAUUAAUGAUUUUAUCGAAAUAAAAAUAUUGGUAUGUCGUAACUUC